ACCCUAACUAUAAUAUAACUCUUUCAAUCUGCAGUUAAUCACCCAGGCUUAAUAUAAGAUCACGAUUAUAACUACUUUUGAUCACAUAGAGCAGCAGUCGGCAAUAGAAUUUGCUGACGGAUUAAAAGUUAAAACUGAAUCUACGUCCUUAGUAAUGUCAUAGGAUUCUAAGCGGACAAAAUGGGCCUCAAUGUCAACACUUACUUAAAAUGUGAUGCCAAACUUGACAGAAGUGCAAUUUCAGCAGUUUCAAUGCUUCAUCAUUUUUGGAUCUUAUACAAAUCUUGGAGCCUGAAAUUUUUAAAGGCAAAUAGAAAAAAAGGCAAUAGUAACUCCUGUAUAUUUUAGUUUAAACAUAUUUAAUUAUUGCCUCUUUCAUUACUAAUUUGUUGGUAGUUAUCUAAUUUAUAAUAUUUAGCAAGAAACGCUACUAGUGAAUUGAGUAGGGGUAAUUCCUUUUAAAUUUUAUUGCAUUUGCUACACCCUGUAUAAACUCUAUUUCGCAAACUUUCCUAUUCCUCCAACAAAGUUUCUCAUUAAAAUAAGUUUAUACAUGGAAUUUGGAAGAAUUUUUAUAUUAUAUUUAAUAUUAUACGAACAAGCAUUUAUAACUGUUAAUUUUGAUUGUAUAAAUUGUGGAUUUUUUUUUCUCUAUAAUAUAGUAAUGCAUUUGUGAAUUUCUUAUAUUUUUUUUUGUUGUUAUAAAGAUUACUUGUUUCUAUUUCAUUGCUAAUUUGUUAAUAGUUAUUUAA
Molecule: long non-coding RNA, 752 nt
Organism: Anthonomus grandis grandis
Lineage: Eukaryota; Metazoa; Arthropoda; Insecta; Coleoptera; Curculionidae
Exons: 3
Source: RefSeq, a predicted model, not a curated record